CAGCAGCCGCGGUAAUACGUAGGGUGCAAGCGUUAAUCGGAAUUACUGGGCGUAAAGCGUGCGCAGGCGGUUUGUUAAGACAGAUGUGAAAUCCCCGGGCUCAACCUGGGAACUGCAUUUGUGACUGGCAAGCUAGAGUGUGGCAGAGGGGGGUGGAAUUCCGCGUGUAGCAGUGAAAUGCGUAGAUAUGCGGAGGAACACCGAUGGCGAAGGCAGCCCCCUGGGCCAACACUGACGCUCAUGCACGAAAGCGUGGGGAGCAAACAGGAUUAGAGACCCCAGUAGUCCCUGUCUCUUAUAC
RNAcentral lists this ribosomal RNA (301 nucleotides) under uncultured bacterium. Its description in RNAcentral is "partial 16S ribosomal RNA". It matches the Rfam family "Bacterial small subunit ribosomal RNA", at positions 509 to 807 of the family's 1533-position model. The record is from RNAcentral.